Mastomys coucha (southern multimammate mouse) is the source of this 4201-nucleotide long non-coding RNA. RefSeq lists it as uncharacterized. The transcript has 2 exons. The record is from RefSeq and is a predicted model, not a curated record. NCBI's taxonomy places the organism in Eukaryota, Metazoa, Chordata, Mammalia, Rodentia, Muridae.
AGGUAUCUUGAUUGUUUCAAAUAGUACUGCUUAGCCGUUGAAGCAGUUGACAAGUUUGGAUCAGAUUUUAAGGAAACAGAUGCAUGUAAAUUCCUAUUUUCCCCCUUCAAGUGGUUGGAGACUGGGAGUCCUGAAUGUGGAAGCCUUGGAGGUCAACACAAAGCACCAAUCAAUGCGGGGAAAAGCAUUUGUCCCCCACCCCAUUUCCCCUGAGUCCCUUUGCUGUUGGGACUGCUAAAUGAUAACGCCCACCAUAUCUCUGCCAGCACAGAGAGUCACUGCAGACAUCAGACAGGCUGUGGCAGAACCUAGAGCAGUUUAUGGGUGUGUAAACCAAUUUGUUUUGGUCUGAUUUUGUGGGGGAGAGGGUUGGUUGUUUUGUCUCUCUUUUGAGACCAGAUAUCAGCUACAUAAUCCAGACUGGCCUUAAACUUUUGUAUCUUUCUUUCUCAGACUCUAAAGUAGCUGGGACUAUAGGUGUCAGCAAUAUGCUUGUAAGGUGUCACAAUAUGCUCUGUAGGUUUGCUCCUUAGAGGAAGGAUGGGUAGGGAGCUCCGACAGAGCCUCAAGCAUCCCACGCCAGGGUUCUCACUUUCGGACAACACAAGACCUAGCAUGGUGGAACAAUAUGGCUCCUGCCUAAUAGAAUUGAAUGAGGUUCUUCCUAAGGUCAAGUGCUAUAGGGAAGAGAGUGUUUGCCACUAGAUUGGGAGCUAAGAACUGAGAGCGACCCACCCAUGUGCACCCUUGACAGUCUCCAUGUGUCUUCAAAGGGAAUGGCUUUACUCCUGUGUGCUGUUGCUAAAUUUCUUUUUAAUGUAUCAUUGGGUAUACAAUCUACAAAAAGAAGAUGUCUGCAUGGAGCAAUGCCAGUGUUUCCCUAGACUUGUGCCAUGGCUGUGCUUCUUACGCCUCUUCUGUUCCAGGGAGAAAAGUAAACCAAAGUAUGUUCCCAAGACUCAACCUGUCCUGUUCAGAGCAGUCCGAGCAGUGUGCUGAGGAUGGCCUGACUCCCAACAACAAGGAGCUGCUGGACGCUGAACUUUCUAGGACAGGUUCCGAAAAAAAUGACUUUCAAAUGUUCUAAUAGGCAGCCAUCUAAUAAUGAACUCUUAAUGUCAUAGAGAAUACUGUUAACUUUGUAUAUGAUGCGCUGCAUUCUACAUGUGGGAUGUGAACCUCAGGCAGGAGUGGUGAUGACUGCAACUCCAGAGACUGAGCUGGGUGUGGCUGGCAUGUACUGUGGUCCUAGUCACAGAGGGAGGACUACUCCAGCCUACAAGUUUGAGACUCGCCUGGGCAACAUAGCUGGACAAUGCCUCAAUAACAACAACAACAUGACAAAACAUGAGAGCAAUAUAAAGCCAGAAUAUGUACUUUGCUCUACACACACCACUACUUUCUGGGAGGCAUCCAUGCUCGGCUUCUUGGAGUGGGAGGCCCCUAAGUCGUCCUCCAUGUUGUCACAGCUGUCUCCAGACUUGAAGACUGUCUGACCCCACCGUCUCCGGGCUCCCUUAUGGCCCAGUGUGCUGACUGGAUUCUGUGGUAAAAAACAAAGUCAGCCACCAAAGUCUUAAAUUACUUAAGAUUUCCUCAAGCAAUUAAAUCGGGCAGAAAGCUCUCAAGGGUCUUUCCCUUUACACUCAGGUGUUACGUGAUGACAGAACACAUUCUGAGAAGUGCAUCUACAGGUAACUGUCACUGGGUGGGCACCAUAGAACGCACUUACAAGAACCUAGAUGUUCUAGCCUAUUAGUGCGGUUUUUGUUCACCGGCAACAAAUGUGUUCCAUAUGCUACUGUACUGAAUACUGUUAACUGUAGAGGGCUGGUUACCAUCUGUGUAUCUAAACAUAUGUAAACAUAGAUGAGGUACUGUGAAGAGGCUGGGAUACAGGUUAGUGGUGGAGCACAGAGGUAGCAUGCACAAGGGCCUAGAUCCAACCCAGCUACCCGGUACUUCCUCCCUCCCCGGUCCCACCCCCAAAUAGAAAAGGCAGGAAGAACUUGAAGCAGCUAGCUACCUCCACAGUCAAGAAUAGAAAGCAAAUAAAUACAUGCACACCUACAGGCUGCUCAGCUCCCAUUCUCUUUUCUUAAAUAUUGUACAGGACCCAAGCCCAAAGACAAGUACCAUUCAGUUUUGGGCUGGCUCUUCCUGCACCAAUGAAAUUACUGAAGAUAAUUCUCUAUGGACAUACCUGAAAGCCUUCUGGCUCUAGGCAGUCCCUCAUGGAGACCUCCAUUCGAGGUGACUCUAGAGUAUGUCAUACUGACAGUUUAAACUAACCAGCACUGGGUACUUGCGGUCCGAGGUUCUGGGUUGGCCCCUCAUAGAGUCUAGAAAACUGAGACUUGGCUAUGAGUCUUCUUGCCCUUCUCAAGUGAAAAUGGAGGACACUGAGGUUGGCAUGACCCUGUGGCCUUCAUGCUUUCCUCUCUAAAAUGCAUGUGCCACCUUAUAGCCAAAGCAUAAAAGCCACUGUGGAGGGGAUGGCACUGGAAGACAGGGACACCCUGGUAUCUUCAACCGCUUCCUGAAGAGAUAGAGCCAGAAGACAGAGUGGUCUUGUUCCAUGAGAAGGUCCCAGUGCUCUGGGGUUGACCACCUAGGGCUUUCCAUUUGUGAGGAAAGCUUCUACUGUUCAAGCACAGUGGUCAGGCUUCUGCCAUUACUGAAUGUACUUCCAGUGGACACAAAAGGAGAAAAGGCAUCGAUGACUUUAAAGGUAGAGCCUCUACAAUGGCUGGCUGAGCUGAAAAUCCUGACAACCCCAGUUCCAUUCCAGGGACUGCAGGGUGGGAGGAGAGGAAGGGUUCCUGUGGGUUGCCCUGGAGUCACCACGAGUGCCCUUCCCCACGAAAAAAACCCACAUAUACUAUAAAAUUUAAGAUUUAAGUCUAAUUGUCGAAGAAUAGCAUCCCUAUUAACAGGAAUGAGGAAUGAGGAAUGAGGAAGAAGCCGAGGCUUAGGAUAGACUAUGAGCUGGUUUCCUAUAAGCUGAUGAAAAAGUGGUACGGGCAUGUGAAUUGAAAUACGCAAAAGCAGUUCACACUAAGGAAUGGAGCUUAGAAGGAUGGCCAUCUGCGCUCUGGACUUGAGAAUGCUGGAAGAAUGGCUUAGGAGUGCACAAAGCUGCUGACACCCAGAUGGAAAUGGCAGGAAAGGACACCUGCCAGCCUCUGCACCGUCAUAUACUUUGUCAAGAGGAACACUUUCACAAACAGAAUGAAUAAGAACCAAUGCUCUGGAUGCACGGAGUCAGCAGAAGAUGACAUUUGGCUAAGUGUAAGCCUUCCUUAGCUUGACUGCCCUUUAGUGUGAAACUGAAUGCUGAUCCCUACUGAGCCAGGUCAGUACCGACACAAUGAUCCUGCAUGUUUGGGAAGACUGGGAGGGGGCAGAUAACAAGUGAUGCAUCUGAAAUACAAAGCAAAUGUCUAUAGUCCAUGUUAAUACUUUGUUAUAGAAUGAGGGCAAAGAUCUGGGGAACUGGUGGGUCAUAUAAGCCACAAUUAUUCAUAUCUAUGACUCCAUGUGAUGUGGUAGGUAGUCAUGCGAGUGCCAGUCAAACUGGUGUCCCAGGUUCUCACGAUAACCCCCAACAAUGAAAUGAUCAGAGGCCAAUGGAAGUAGAUCAGAGAGUGGAUCAGAUUUAUGAGUGAUCAGCAAACCAAUGUCAAUCUAGAAGGUUCUAGCUGCUUCCCAAGAGCACCGUGCUUUUCUGUUUAUCAUGAAGAUAACAGGAAUAAAAACAGACAACUAAAUAAAUCCACAGAUGUCAGGAUUGCUAGGCCCAGGAGAGAAUAAGAAUAAGAAGUUUGCAAGGUAAUGAGAGACCUUUUAACUCUUUGAACCCUACAGAUGGAAUAGGCAAGUUAAAGUAUAGAAUAUAUGAUCUGCAGAGACGUUUAGUAACAAAACAGACUCAGAAAAUGUCAUGGUUAGAACACCCAUCCCAGUUCUGGAAUAUGCUAGCUGUAAAAAGAUGAGGGACUAGAUAACUUGGUGAGUACACCUAGGAGGAACACAGUGGGCAGUUCUUUAUAUGCUUAAUAACUACAAAUUUCUUUUUCUUUCCUCUCACUGUUCACCAGCAUCUGAUGACCUUCUCAAAUGGGAAGAGGAGAUGCAACCCUCAGUGGCAAGAGUGGCCCUUUAGUUUUGGAAGACUGUCUGCCACUAGUUCAGGUAGUGU